GCGCUCGUAGCUCAGUGGAUAGAGCAUCUGGCUUCGAACCAGAGGGUCGGGGGUUCGAUCCCCUCCGAGCGCA
RNAcentral lists this transfer RNA (73 nucleotides) under bacterium. RNAcentral's name for it is "tRNA-Arg". It matches the Rfam family "tRNA". From Rfam's summary of the family: Transfer RNA (tRNA) molecules are approximately 80 nucleotides in length. Their secondary structure includes four short double-helical elements and three loops (D, anti-codon, and T loops). Further hydrogen bonds mediate the characteristic L-shaped molecular structure. tRNAs have two regions of fundamental functional importance: the anti-codon, which is responsible for specific mRNA codon recognition, and the 3' end, to which the tRNAs corresponding amino acid is attached (by aminoacyl-tRNA synthetases). tRNAs cope with the degeneracy of the genetic code in two manners: having more than one tRNA (with a specific anti-codon) for a particular amino acid; and 'wobble' base-pairing, i.e. permitting non-standard base-pairing at the 3rd anti-codon position. The record is from RNAcentral.